Molecule: long non-coding RNA, 3392 nt
Organism: Oncorhynchus tshawytscha (Chinook salmon)
Lineage: Eukaryota; Metazoa; Chordata; Actinopteri; Salmoniformes; Salmonidae
Source: Ensembl
CCUGGAAGGAGGAGAGAUGACUAGAAAUGAUUGGGUUGAGCGUUUUGUGUGGAUUAAUGUUUAUAUCCCAGGACAAAUUAGCUAGCAACAGCAAGCUAGCUAAAUAGGACAAAUUAGCUAGCAAGUGCAAGCUAACUACCUAAAUUGCCAUACAUGUUUAAUGCUUUUCGACCUGUCUCCAAAUUAAUGUCAUUAGUUAAGAGUUUGUUUUGAUAUUUUAACCUGCAUGUCGUGAUCGCGUUUGGUGUAGGGGACAAAAUAAAUGUAUGCACGAUAGCGCACGCGCGCAGCCGGUGUGGGUUCCGUGUUAAGGGCAGAAGGACACAAUGCAACUAACGUUAUACAGACAGAGUGGGAGGAGAGGGAGGCAUUCCAUCACCAUCAUAACUGUAGUUUUUGUAUCUAAAAAAAACAAGUUCUACUCGUAAUCCUAUCUAAUUCGUUAGCGAGUUUGCUCAAUUUACAUAUAGCAUGUUAUUUAGCUCACUGUUGGACGGUAGCUACUUUGGGCGAGGGAUGCAGACCGAUUCUCCUCGGACGCGGUGGUAGAAGCGUUGCUGAGAGCCAAUUGGCUAUCGAACGGCCAAUGGCGUGAGACGUGGGUCUUGAUAGAUUGGGAGGUCACCGAAAUAAUAUUUCUGUUUGUGCGGUUACAAACGGAUUACGCUUCGAACAUACCGACUGGGUCAUUGCCACAGUGCUGCAUAACAUUUUGCGCAGCUAGGCAACUAUACCGAGGCAGGUAUAUUUUGCCAGACGGUCGAAUGCGGUUGGACACAUGGAGAGAAUCAUUUUUGCAGUAUCCUCAAAACCGGCUUUUUGACACAACUGCUGAAAGCUACAGGGACAUAAACACAAAAAAUGCUGCGUGUCCACGAUAGUAGGAUUGCCAGGAUGUGGCCGUGGAGACAAAUGAGGAGAGAAACAUGGAGAAAUGAAGAGGAACGUCCCCAGAUCCACUCAACUCAUUUCAGCAGAGGCUCCUCAAAGCCAUCGAGAGGAUGCAGCCCAACCUGAUCCUCACAUUAAGGAGGAUGAAGAGACCCUCUUUGCCAUGAGCCUGUUGCCAACCCUGAAGUGGCUGCCUCAGCAAAGAAAAGCACCAAUCAAGGUUAAAAUUCGUUAGCUGCGUUUUGAUGCAGAGUUCAAUGAGAGAGUUAAUUUAGCCGACCAGCACAUUCACUUUUCAUUUUUUCAGACACACACCACUCCUCUCUGUCCCUCAGAUCUCCAGUGCCCUGCCCUUUCUCUCUUUAUGGCCAUGUCUGAAGUUCCUUACUACGUCUAGGCUUUGAGUAGUCCCUGUAUCUGUCUGCAGCUGUGCCAAAAAUACCUGCUCUUUUUGUUCUCUUACAGGCUACACAUUAAUUGUUGUAUUUUUACAUGCGCACACACACACACACACACACACACAACUCUUUCAAUAGUUUUUAUUUUUUGUAACAGUUUUACAACACAUACCUGUCAUGUUCUUUCCUGGACUUCAAUACUUAUUAAAUUCUAAUGUUUUCAUAGUCAGUUUAAUUUGUUUAUUAAUAUCUCAUUUAGACUUAAUCUGCUUAUUUCUUCCCUACACCUUUUGCAGAUCUAACACAAGAUUAAAGUAAAAACACAUUUGCUUCCUAAUUAGUUUUUUCUCCACCUGCAUUUUGUCAGAGCAGUGAAUAUGUUGGUAAACUGUACUAUUUGUAUGGACCCAAGGUUAACUUUUCCCAUUAUCAUACUAACUGUAUGUCGUAUAACCUUAGAGGUCCUGCUCAUCUGAUGUACCAUGCCAGGUGUGUAUAAUACUGAUGUUAAUGGGAGAGGGAAGGGGUUAAGGUGUGGUCUUUACUCCCAAAUUUCACUUAAAUAUAACUUCCAAAUGAAGAGAAACAAUGAGACUUAAAGUAAUCUGGGGGAAAAAUGCAAUUUCAUGGACAGCGGUGGAUGGUUCUUAAAAUAACCUUGGUGUUAGGGGGUUCUUCAAAGAGCUGUUUCACUCCACGGCAUAUUGUCAUGGGACUUCACCUGCUGGUGAUGAAGUAGGUGGUCAGCUUCUCCCUCACCUGGAGUGCCUGUCUGGGGGUGUUGUUGGCACAUGCCCUGGUGACAUCAGGUAGGUGACCAUUUGGCGUGCCCGUCUCCACCCAGAGCGGCUCCUGGAAUGACCUCUGCAGGUAGUUGUGGAGAACACACGUGGUCUUUACGCAGGCAUCAACAUUUGAGGGGCUGAGACCAAGCACUCCCCGAUACAUUCUCCACCAGGCUGCCAGAAUCCCAAAGGUGCAUUCAACAACUAACCUUUACCUGGAUAGUCGUUUGUUAAAGAUCCUUGCAGACUUUGGCAAUGGCAGCUGGCUGUCCAGCUUGAAAUUCCACCCACAUAUUCUACCUACUCAUAUACCUACCUCAUUAGUUUAUGCUCAGCUAAUUAUAUUGUAAGAGUCAUCAACCAUCAUUUAAAAAUGCCUUGGAGCAGUACAAUUCAGUCUAUGGCUGUAUCAAACUGUAGCCCAGACCAACUCUACUCUUAGAAGAAAAGGUGCUAUCUAGAACCUAAAAGGGUUCUCUGGUUGUCCCCAUAGGAGAACCCUUUGAAGAAACUUUUUGGUUCCAUCUAUAACAUUUUCCCCAAAGGGUUCUACCUGGAACCAAAAAGGAUUAUCCUAUGGGGAAAGCAGGACACUUUUGGAACCCUUUUUUCUCAGAGUGUAAGUAAUUCCAAUAAGAAUUGAAUGAAUUACUGUCUUGAACAACAAGGGGUCCUGGAGAAGACUAGCCCACCUUCAACUUUAUUUUCAUUUGGUAACAUUGCAUCAUUAAAUUAUUUUAAACCAACUUUGGGAAAAGUUAUAAUCCUAAUGGACAUUCUGUGAAAGUAAAUCUGUCACAUAUGGGCUAUUAACUGGAGCCCUUUAGCUAGCUAGGUUUCACAUAAAAUAUAUCUAAUAUAAAUCAAUUACGGUAUCAAAGCCAUUAAAAAUGUACUCAAAUGUCGCUUACCGGAGACAAAUCGCCAGGCGUUUAACUGGGCUGAUGGACUCCCAGUAGUUGGUAUCCAUCCGGGCGAUCCUGGCUCCAACCAUCGAAAGUAACUUCGAAAUUCUUCUCCAAACAGUUGAAGAUCUUGAAUUAGACGGUGGAACUCCCCUCCAUGCUUUCGGGACUUCAACCAUCUCUAGACCCACACAGACCUGCGCUUUCGGCAGGGCUGGUCCCUUACACCCGCCCAACAGCGCGACCAAGACCACCUUCAUCACCGUUUGGUGUCAUUGUUGAAAGAGCCUACUCUCUGCUAUCUUGACUAUUAUUGCAUUUCGCUCCAAAACUGCAUUUUGGAGGGAAAUUAUAUUAUAGGCUCGCACAAUUAAUUUUUAGAUGUCAUCGAAUAAAUAUGUAUGCUAGUUGGC